Long non-coding RNA from Mesoplodon densirostris (Blainville's beaked whale), 2480 nucleotides. RefSeq lists it as uncharacterized. Lineage: Eukaryota; Metazoa; Chordata; Mammalia; Artiodactyla; Ziphiidae. The transcript is spliced from 3 exons. The record is from RefSeq and is a predicted model, not a curated record.
GUCGCGGAGAGCGUGGGGGUCGAGGGGGCGCACCGACAAGACCGUCUCAUCCAGGCUCGUCGACCACCCGUAUUCCACCACCUCCCACCUGUAUUCCAUGCCCGCCGCUUCUUCCCGGCUGACCUCAGUGCAGCUACCCGGCCUACCUCAGUCUGGAUCCCUUCAGGCUGGCACUUCGGAAGGAAGGGAGCGCUCGGCUGGAGAAAGAGAUGGGUCGGCGCCUUGAGCACUAAGAGAAAAGCCGCCUGAGUCCCGAGUGCGCGGACCAAUGAGGCGGCCUUCCUGCGUCAGCGCGGAUAUACGCUGCCCAAUUAGAGGAAGCGUAUCCUGGCGGCCAAGGGAGAAGCUACGGGUCCUACUUGGGGACAAACAUCUCGACAAUAAUAAUAGGCUUCUAUUUUUAUUUUUGUUUUAAUUUGAACGAAAGGCCACACUAGAUAUGUCCAGCUUUGAGCAGUAAGAACAAUUUCGUUACCUUUGAAGUUUCCGAAAACAUUCCACAUGUAUUUUUUUUAAUUGAUUCUUAAUCACAUCACGUCUAUUAAGACAGAAGACAGACUCGGACAUUAAUUUGCCCAAGAACACAUAGCCCUUUUGGAUUAAAAAAAGAAGAAGAAGGAAAAAAAAAAAAAAAACCAAGUCCAGGACAACUAAACGCAAAGUGAAAUCCUGGAUUGGACCCUGGAACAGAAAAAGGACGUGAAUGGGACAGCUGACGAAAUUUGAGCAAGGUGUAUCAAGUAAUAAUAUUAUUGUAUCAAUAGUUUUGAUAAUUGUACUACGGUUAUGUAAGAUGUUAACUUUAGGGGAUUCUGGGUGAAGAACAUAGGGGUACUCUAUACUAUUUUUGCAACUUUUUGGAAACCUAAAAUACUGUCAAAUUCUGAGCCCUUAUUGAGAUGUCCAGUAUACAACACGAAGUAGCUCAUGGAAAGCUUUGUGUAAAUUGAAUCAUUCGAAAUAUACUAAAACAAUACACUCUUUAAAACAGAGCACAGACUCCAGACGCGCAGGCUCAGCGGUCAUGGCUCACGGGCCCAGCCGCUCCGUGGCAUGUGGGAUCCUCCUGGACCGGGGCACGAACCCGUGUCCCCUGCAUCGGCAGGCGGACUCUCAACCACUGCGCCACCAGGGAAGCCCCCGCUCUAUGGUUUUUAUCUCCUGAUGGGGGAUAAAGAAGUCACUAGGUCCAGUCCACACUCAGGCGUGAAUGCAACCUGGCCCCCACCCCCUGCUUGGUCCCAGGUUCUUCCUGCUUGCUGCUUGGAUGAGCCAAGCUAGCAUAUUGAUUGUAAGUUGCCCUAGAGAGGGUCAAGUGGCAGAAAACUGAGGGCAACCUUCAGCCAAUGAAAACCUGAGGCUGCCAUUCCAACAGUUCAGGAGGAACUGAAUCCUGCCAAUAAUAAGGGGAGUGAGCUUGGAAGCACACCCUUCACCAGGAGAGCCACGAGAUGACUACAGAGCCAGCUAACGCCUAGGUUGUGAGAGACCCAGAGCAGAGGACUCCUCUAAGUCACAUGCAGAUUCCUGACCUACAGAAACUGUGAAACAAUGUUAUUGUGUUAAGCUGCUAAAUUGAGGGUACUUUGUUAUGUGAUUAUAGGUAACUAAUACAAGAGUUAUUCCAAUUUUCCUUUUCAUCCUGUAUCUGUUUUGGUAAAUUGUAUUUUGAAGGAAUUUGUCCAUUUUUAAGUUAAGACCAUAUAGUCGAAUUUAUCCAUUUCCUUCAGAGGUUGACCAAGUACACUAAUUUAUCUGCUCAAAAAAUACUUCAGAAACAAAAAACGUCCACACAAAGACAUGUACACAAAUGUUCAUAGCAGCUUUAUUUGUUAAUAGUCAAAAAAUCUAAACAACCCAAAUGUUCUUCAAUGGGUGAAUGUUUAAACAAAAUGUGGUAUGUCCAUACCAUGGUAUACUACUCAGCAAUAAAAAGGAAUGAACUACUAAUACAUGCAACAAUUUGGAUGGAUCUCAAGGGAAUUAUGCUGAGUGAAAAAAAGCCAAUCUCAAAAGGUUACAGUCUGCAUAAUUUCACUUAUAUAACAUUCACAUAAUGACAAAAUUACAGAGAUGGAGAAGAAAUCAGUGGUUGCCAGGGGCCAGGGAUAGGAAAAUGGGGGUAAGGGAGGGGAAUGACAUGAAUAUAAAGGGAUAGCACAAGGGAUCAUUGAGGUGAUGGAACAAUUGUUCUUUUUUUUUCAGUUCUGUUAUCUUAAGUUGUAGUGGUUCCACAAAUCUACAUGUGAUAAAAACUGAAUACAACUACACACACACACACAAAUGAAUGCAUGUGAAAGUGAGUGAAAUCUGAGUAAGUUCUGUAGAUUGUUACUAAUGUCAAUUUCCUGGUUUUGAUAUUAUAGUAUAGUUAUGUAAGAUACUACCAUUGGCGGAACUGUAUGAGGGUACAUGGGUCCUCUUUGUAUUAUUUUUGCAAAUUCUUGUGAAUCUAUAAUUAUUUCAGAAUAUAAAGUAAA